CGGGGCAUGGCGCAGCCUGGUAGCGCAUCUGCUUUGGGAGCAGAGGGUCGGGGGUUCGAAUCCCUCUGCCCCGACCA
Molecule: transfer RNA, 77 nt
Filed under: Gammaproteobacteria bacterium
Lineage: Bacteria; Pseudomonadati; Pseudomonadota; Gammaproteobacteria
Also listed under: 3 other names
Description: tRNA-Pro
Rfam family: tRNA
About the family: Transfer RNA (tRNA) molecules are approximately 80 nucleotides in length. Their secondary structure includes four short double-helical elements and three loops (D, anti-codon, and T loops). Further hydrogen bonds mediate the characteristic L-shaped molecular structure. tRNAs have two regions of fundamental functional importance: the anti-codon, which is responsible for specific mRNA codon recognition, and the 3' end, to which the tRNAs corresponding amino acid is attached (by aminoacyl-tRNA synthetases). tRNAs cope with the degeneracy of the genetic code in two manners: having more than one tRNA (with a specific anti-codon) for a particular amino acid; and 'wobble' base-pairing, i.e. permitting non-standard base-pairing at the 3rd anti-codon position.
Source: RNAcentral